RNAcentral lists this ribosomal RNA (443 nucleotides) under uncultured bacterium. RNAcentral's name for it is "partial 16S ribosomal RNA". It matches the Rfam family "Bacterial small subunit ribosomal RNA", at positions 338 to 795 of the family's 1533-position model. The record is from RNAcentral.
CCUACGGGAGGCUGCAGUGGGGAAUAUUGGGCAAUGGGCGCAAGCCUGACCCAGCAACGCCGCGUGAAGGAAGAAGGCUUUCGGGUUGUAAACUUCUUUUCUCAGGGACGAGGCAAGUGCCGGUACCUGAGGAAUAAGCCACGGCUAACUCCGUGCCAGCAGCCCCGGUAAUCCGUAGGUGGCAAGCGUUAUCCGGAUUUACUGGGGGUAAAGGGCGUGCAGGCGGGAAUGCAAGUCAGAUGUGAAAACCCCGGGCUCAACCUGGGACCUGCAUUUGAAACUGUAGUUCUUGAGUACCGGAGAGGCAGACGGAAUUCCUAGUGUAGCGGUGAAAUGCGUAGAUAUUAGGAGGAACACCAGUGGCGAAGGCGGACUGCUGGACAGCAACUGACGCUGAGGCGCGAAAGCGUGGGGAGCAAACAGGAUUAGAUACCCUGGUAGUC